AGUCGAGCGAAGGACGAGAAGCUUGCUUCUCUGAUGUUAGCGGCGGACGGGUGAGUAACACGUGGAUAACCUACCUAUAAGACUGGGAUAACUUCGGGAAACCGGAGCUAAUACCGGAUAAUAUUUUGAACCGCAUGGUUCAAAAGUGAAAGACGGUCUUGCUGUCACUUAUAGAUGGAUCCGCGCUGCAUUAGCUAGUUGGUAAGGUAACGGCUUACCAAGGCAACGAUGCAUAGCCGACCUGAGAGGGUGAUCGGCCACACUGGAACUGAGACACGGUCCAGACUCCUACGGGAGGCAGCAGUAGGGAAUCUUCCGCAAUGGGCGAAAGCCUGACGGAGCAACGCCGCGUGAGUGAUGAAGGUCUUCGGAUCGUAAAACUCUGUUAUUAGGGAAGAACAUAUGUGUAAGUAACUGUGCACAUCUUGACGGUACCUAAUCAGAAAGCCACGGCUAACUACGUGCCAGCAGCCGCGGUAAUACGUAGGUGGCAAGCGUUAUCCGGAAUUAUUGGGCGUAAAGCGCGCGUAGGCGGUUUUUUAAGUCUGAUGUGAAAGCCCACGGCUCAACCGUGGAGGGUCAUUGGAAACUGGAAAACUUGAGUGCAGAAGAGGAAAGUGGAAUUCCAUGUGUAGCGGUGAAAUGCGCAGAGAUAUGGAGGAACACCAGUGGCGAAGGCGACUUUCUGGUCUGUAACUGACGCUGAUGUGCGAAAGCGUGGGGA
Molecule: ribosomal RNA, 724 nt
Filed under: Staphylococcus sp. HGH0021
Lineage: Bacteria; Bacillati; Bacillota; Bacilli; Caryophanales; Staphylococcaceae
Description: bacterial SSU rRNA
Rfam family: Bacterial small subunit ribosomal RNA
Source: RNAcentral